GGGGGUAUAGCUCAGUGGUAGAGCACGUGCUUGGCAUAUGCAAGAUCCCGGGUUCAAUCCCCAGUGCCUCCG
This 72-nucleotide transfer RNA is filed under the name Camelus bactrianus (Bactrian camel). It matches the Rfam family "tRNA". Rfam says of the family: Transfer RNA (tRNA) molecules are approximately 80 nucleotides in length. The record is from Rfam by way of RNAcentral. RNAcentral also lists the same sequence under 3 other names. Lineage: Eukaryota; Metazoa; Chordata; Mammalia; Artiodactyla; Camelidae.